Triticum dicoccoides is the source of this 1635-nucleotide RNA transcript. It is a transcript of the gene named tRNA-dihydrouridine(20) synthase [NAD(P)+]-like, with no coding region annotated. Lineage: Eukaryota; Viridiplantae; Streptophyta; Magnoliopsida; Poales; Poaceae. The transcript is spliced from 11 exons. The record is from RefSeq and is a predicted model, not a curated record.
UCUGUUCCUGCACGGGACAGCGCGGUCGCCGCCAGCGUCGCCUUUUCUUCUCCGCGGCACUGUCCGCCGCGGACCCUCGUCCUCCAGAAUUCCCAGGGGUAGCAAGGAGAGGGUCAGAGGCGGAGCAGCCGCAGCGGCCAGCGGCCACCGGCGGAGACGCGGCGACGCGAGGCAAGAAGUGAUGGAGUACCGCAACAAGAUGGUGCUCGCGCCCAUGGUCCGCGCGGGUACUCUGCCGUUUAGGCUAUUGGCUGCUGAAUAUGGCGCGGAUAUUACGUACGGAGAAGAAAUAAUAGAUCACAAGUUUGUGAACUGUCAACGCGUUAUAAAUGAAUCUCUUGGGACAACUGAUUUUGUGGAGAGAGGGACUGAUAGUGUUGUUUUCCGAACAUGCCCGCAAGAAAGGGACAAGGUUGUCUUUCAAAUCGGCACAUCAGAUGCUGUCAGAGCACUUAAAGCUGCUGAGCUUGUGUGUAAUGAUAUUGCUGCUAUAGAUAUCAACAUGGGUUGUCCAAAGGCUUUUUCUGUCAGUGGAGGAAUGGGUUCUGCAUUACUCUCCAAACCUGAGCUUAUACAUGAUAUUUUGACUACAUUGCGGAGGAACUUGAACACACCAGUGACAUGUAAAAUCCGUCUACUGAACACACGUCAGGACACUGUGGAGUUGGCACGCCGGAUUGAGAAAUGUGGUGUUCCAGCUCUGGCUGUCCAUGGAAGAAAGGUCAAAGACAGGCCAAGGGAUCCGGCUAAGUGGGAUGAGAUUGCUGAUGUUGUAUCCGCACUGUCAAUUCCAGUUAUAGCUAAUGGGAAUGUAUUUGAGUACGAAGAUUUUAAGAGAAUCAAAGAUGCUACAGGUGCCACAUCUGUAAUGGCUGCUAGAGGUGCCUUGUGGAAUGCCUCCAUUUUCUCUGCUAAAGGCAAAGUACCUUGGGAGGAUUUCAAAAGAGAGUAUGUGAGAAAGACUAUUUUGUGGGACAACGAUAUUAAGAGCACAAAGACAACGCUAAGAGAAAUCAUAAUGCACUACAUUUGCCUUGAAGGGACUGAAGGGAAAGGUGUGAUAAAGUGUGGUUCGUCAGCAGAUGUAGCGAGACUUUAUGGGGAAGAGGAUUACUAUAAUUUUGUUGUUUCAAAUAGGAAAUGAACAAAACAGGAUUUUGCUAACCUCUAUAUGACCCAGCUUCUGCUUGGAUCCCUCGGUUGGUUUUAUGAAUGUUUUUUCCGGAGAUCUUUGCAUGAGUUUUGGAGAAAUUCACAUAUCACCAAAGAGUGCAGUUUUGGCUUUUGCACUGUGCCAUCUUGGUAUCUGAUCAAGAUCAACUGAGGAUUCACGGAUUCCUUAUUUCGUGGGGCAUGAAACUGCCUCCUGUAUUAUGGAUUCUGGAAGCACAAAGUCUGCAUCACCCGUGACAUCAGAGACCAUAGAUGAUCACAUGCUAUUUCUUCUGGAAGGACUUGUUGAUAUAUAUGCUACUUUAUCAUAAAUAUCUCACUCAGAUAAUUGUUGCAGCGGACCAAUUAUUUUCCCUGGUUGCCGUCUUCUAGAUGCCCAGAGCAAUGUUUUUCUUCUUCUUUGGGGUAAUUCAAACCAAUUUUACUGAGCAAUAUUUCAAAAGACAUAACUUUCUGUGUUGC